AUUGAACGCUGGCGGCAUGCCUUACACAUGCAAGUCGAACGGCAGCACGGGAGCAAUCCUGGUGGCGAGUGGCGAACGGGUGAGUAAUAUAUCGGAACGUGCCCAGUCGUGGGGAUAACGUAGCGAAAGCUACGCUAAUACCGCAUACGAUCUACGGAUGAAAGCGGGGGAUCGCAAGACCUCGCGCGAUUGGAGCGACCGAUAUCAGAUUAGGUAGUUGGUGAGGUAAAGGCUCACCAAGCCGACGAUCUGUAGCUGGUCUGAGAGGACGACCAGCCACACUGGGACUGAGACACGGCCCAGACUCCUACGGGAGGCAGCAGUGGGGAAUUUUGGACAAUGGACGCAAGUCUGAUCCAGCCAUUCCGCGUGCAGGAUGAAGGCCCUCGGGUUGUAAACUGCUUUUGUACGGACGAAAAGGUUUCUAUUAAUACUAGGAGCUCAUGACGGUACCGUAAGAAUAAGCAACCGGCUAACUACGUGCCAGC
This 488-nucleotide ribosomal RNA is filed under the name uncultured bacterium. RNAcentral describes it as "bacterial SSU rRNA". It matches the Rfam family "Bacterial small subunit ribosomal RNA", at positions 30 to 512 of the family's 1533-position model. The record is from RNAcentral.